This 73-nucleotide transfer RNA is filed under the name Patiria miniata (bat star). RNAcentral describes it as "tRNA-Lys". It matches the Rfam family "tRNA". Rfam says of the family: Transfer RNA (tRNA) molecules are approximately 80 nucleotides in length. Lineage: Eukaryota; Metazoa; Echinodermata; Asteroidea; Valvatida; Asterinidae. The record is from Rfam by way of RNAcentral.
GCCCGGUUAGCUCAGUCGGUAGAGCAUCAGACUUUUAAUCUGAGGGUCAAGGGUUCGAGUCCCUUACCGGGCG